Molecule: ribosomal RNA, 1515 nt
Filed under: metagenome
Description: bacterial SSU rRNA
Rfam family: Bacterial small subunit ribosomal RNA
Source: RNAcentral
AGAGUUUGAUCCUGGCUCAGGACGAACGCUGGCGGCGUGCUUAACACAUGCAAGUCGAACGAGAGGACAAGAGAGGCUUGCUUCUUUUGGAAUCGAGUGGCAAACGGGUGAGUAACACGUAAACAACCUGCCUUCAGGAUGGGGACAACAGACGGAAACGACUGCUAAUACCGAAUACGCUUGGAAGACCGCAUGAUCUUCCAAGGAAAGGGUGGCCUCUACCUGUAAGCUAUCGCCUGAAGAGGGGUUUGCGUCUGAUUAGGCAGUUGGUGAGGUAACGGCCCACCAAACCUACGAUCAGUAGCCGGUCUGAGAGGAUGAACGGCCACACUGGAACUGAGACACGGUCCAGACUCCUACGGGAGGCAGCAGUGGGGAAUCUUCCGCAAUGGGCGAAAGCCUGACGGAGCAACGCCGCGUGAGUGAUGACGGCCUUCGGGUUGUAAAGCUCUGUGAUCGGGGACGAACGGUCCGUAAGCUAAUACCUUAUGGAAGUGACGGUACCCGAAUAGCAAGCCACGGCUAACUACGUGCCAGCAGCCGCGGUAAUACGUAGGUGGCAAGCGUUGUCCGGAAUUAUUGGGCGUAAAGCGCGCGCAGGCGGCUUUCUAAGUCCAUCUUAAAAGUGCGGGGCUUAACCCCGUGAUGGGAUGGAAACUGGAAAGCUGGAGUAUCGGAGAGGAAAGUGGAAUUCCUAGUGUAGCGGUGAAAUGCGUAGAGAUUAGGAAGAACACCGGUGGCGAAGGCGACUUUCUGGACGACAACUGACGCUGAGGCGCGAAAGCGUGGGGAGCAAACAGGAUUAGUUACCCUGGUAGUCCACACCGUAAACGAUGAUUACUAGGUGUUGGAGGAUUGACCCCUUCAGUGCCGCAGUUAACACAAUAAGUAAUCCACCUGGGGAGUACGACCGCAAGGUUGAAACUCAAAGGAAUUGACGGGGGCCCGCACAAGCAGUGGAGUAUGUGGUUUAAUUCGACGCAACGCGAAGAACCUUACCAAGUCUUGACAUCCCUUGACGAUGCUGGAAACAGUAUUUCUCUUCGGAGCAAGGAGACAGGUGGUGCAUGGUUGUCGUCAGCUCGUGUCGUGAGAUGUUGGGUUAAGUCCCGCAACGAGCGCAACCCUUAUGGUCAGUUACUACGCAAGAGGACUCUGGCCAGACUGCCGUUGACAAAACGGAGGAAGGUGGGGAUGACGUCAAAUCAUCAUGCCCUUUAUGACUUGGGCUACACACGUACUACAAUGGCGUUAAACAAAGAGAAGCAAGACCGCGAGGUGGAGCAAAACUCAGAAACAACGUCCCAGUUCGGACUGCAGGCUGCAACUCGCCUGCACGAAGUCGGAAUUGCUAGUAAUCGUGGAUCAGCAUGCCACGGUGAAUACGUUCCCGGGCCUUGUACACACCGCCCGUCACACCAUGAGAGCCGGGGGGACCCGAAGUCGGUAGUCUAACCGCAAGGAGGACGCCGCCGAGGGUAAAACUGGUGAUUGGGGUGAAGUCGUAACGAGGUA